RNAcentral lists this transfer RNA (72 nucleotides) under Candidatus Woesearchaeota archaeon. RNAcentral's name for it is "tRNA-Gly". It matches the Rfam family "tRNA". From Rfam's summary of the family: Transfer RNA (tRNA) molecules are approximately 80 nucleotides in length. Their secondary structure includes four short double-helical elements and three loops (D, anti-codon, and T loops). Lineage: Archaea; Nanobdellati; Candidatus Woesearchaeota. The record is from RNAcentral.
GCGCGAGUCGUACAGCGGCUAGUAUCCGAGCUUCCCAAGCUUGUGACCCGGGUUCGAAUCCCGGCUCGCGCA